UUUUCCAUUUUUCACUUUCAGUCGAGAGAAGAGAGAAACUUUUCUCUUCUCCUUCAACAAAUCAGCUUAGAUUUUAGGAUUUGCAUGAAAUUAAUACCCCGUUUCAACAAAUCUCCAAUUUAAUCAAAACCCAUAGAAAUCUGAAAUCAAAUCUAUACUUUUUUCUAAACCUAAUUUUUUCCCUGAAAUCAAAAAUCAAAUCAUUCAACCUCUGAUUUUGGUGGAUUAUCAUCAGAUUUUGAAGAUGGUGCACAGGCAGAUUAUGGGUGAGAAGACUUGGCGUCCAGGAAUGUGAGAAGACUUGGCCUUCUGGUCCAGGAAUAUCUAAGGCUUGUCGAGAUGUGAAACAAUGGUUGACAAGCAUGUUUCCUGCUUACCCUUAUUCUAUCAUUGAGGAACUCAACGCUAAACUACUUGCAACAGCUAGUUCAGAGUGGGCUGCUUUCUUAGAUGCUGAAGGAAGAAUCUUGAAUCAACAGGGUUAAGAAAGAGAACAUUUUAUGGAGGAGUCGAGCAUAGACUGCAAAAAGAGGCCUAGAAAUUCUUGUUGGGCUAUUAUGGUUAUGAUUCGACAUUUGCUGAGAGGGAAAAUCUAGCUUCAGGUAUAAAAGAAAAAUAUGAAACAAUGAAGCGCCUGUGGCAGAUCGAGUCUGGAACCAACCCUGCCAUCCAGUUCAAAACACAUCCGAACAUCAACAAAGAGUUAUUUUACUAGGCCUGAAAGAUCCAAAUAUACCUUUUCCAGUCUGUCCACCUGGUGAUGCGGGUAUUAGUCUCUUGAGGUGGAGAAUGCUGAGUACUGACGAGCCUGUAGUGCCCCUGACCAUCAACUGCUGGCCGUCUGUCUGUGGAGGUGCCCGUUUUGUUAGCAUGGAAUAUGAGGCAUCAACUAUGUUUAAUUUGCACAAUGUUGUGAGCAAAUGUGAGCCAGGUUGAUGGUGACUGGAAGUAAUUGGUUCUUUUUGUGUUGGAAGUACUGUGCCAGCAACAAUAAAAGUGUUUCAUAUAAGAACCAUACCUUCCCCAUGGCAGUUUCAAUUGUGUUGUCGGGAUAAUAUGAAGAUGAUCUAGAUAAUUCUGAUGAUGUUGUUUUUACUGGACAAGGGGGUAAUGAUUUACUUGGCAAUAAAUCCCAAAUAGCUGACCAAGUAAUGGGACAUGGCAAUUUGUCUCUCAAGGAUUGUUAUGUUCGUUUGGGAACAAAACUUAUUGCUGUCGUAAUUCUCCUAUCUUACCUUGCAGAAUAACUGGAUCAGUAAGUUUCCAUCAGAGUUAUUCAUGGACUGAAAUGUCCUAGUACCAACUGGUAAGCACAAGAACAUCUGCAGUUCCAGUUGUUCCUGAUUCUGAAGGAAGUGAUUCAAAUUCGUUCUCUCUUGAUGCAUUAGCCCUUUUCAUCUUUUGUGUGCUUCAAUGAGAAAAUCACCCUGAAUUCAUCUUUCACGUUAUCUUUUGCCCACUUCUACAAUGCGGAGAGUCGAUUUUUAAUGCAUAAUUUAUAUCUACUCUAUACUUGAAGGGAGAUCAUGACAAGACGUGUUGUGUUGGUUACAUCCUGCUUGAUGUUUUACCAUCUUUAUGACGGAUAGAGCUAUGCCCAGUACAUUCCCCUACCUUUCUGAAGACACCCUCUAUAUAUGUAUUCGACUGCUCAGCUGCAGGAAUGAUAUUCAAUGACUUUAUAGAGGUUCAGAAAAUGUCUUUGUGGUCCUCUUUUUUGGAGAAAGAGCUAAGGCCAAACUCAUGAAGAUAUGUGAUCAUCUGGAGCAAACCAUUACCCAUUCAUUGAGGAAAUCGUAAUGCAAGACCAGAUGAUGACAGAGGUAUGCGAAGUCCUGCAUUGAAUUAGUCAUGCAGAUCCAAUGGAGGGUAUGCUAAAAUUUUGCUAUGAUCUAUUUAAACAGUAGCUUUUAGCAUUGAAUCACUUGUAAAAGUGAAUGAUUUUUGUAGCUGAUCAACUGCGUCAAACUACACUCAGCUUGCUCAAUUCUGAUAAUUUCAUCUAUUACAUGCUGAAAUACAUGAAUUGUUCUUGAUCAAUUUUGAUGAUAUUGAGAACUCCAA
Papaver somniferum (opium poppy) is the source of this 2064-nucleotide long non-coding RNA. RefSeq lists it as uncharacterized. NCBI's taxonomy places the organism in Eukaryota, Viridiplantae, Streptophyta, Magnoliopsida, Ranunculales, Papaveraceae. The transcript has 11 exons. The record is from RefSeq and is a predicted model, not a curated record.